This 465-nucleotide ribosomal RNA is filed under the name Vreelandella stevensii. RNAcentral describes it as "partial 16S ribosomal RNA". It matches the Rfam family "Bacterial small subunit ribosomal RNA", at positions 338 to 795 of the family's 1533-position model. The record is from RNAcentral. Lineage: Bacteria; Pseudomonadati; Pseudomonadota; Gammaproteobacteria; Oceanospirillales; Halomonadaceae.
CCUACAGGUGGCAGCAGUGGGGAAUAUUGGACAAUGGGGGGAACCCUGAUCCAGCCAUGCCGCGUGUGUGAAGAAGGCCCUCGGGUUGUAAAGCACUUUCAGUGAGGAAGAACGCCUGGUGGUUAAUACCCAUCAGGAAAGACAUCACUCACAGAAGAAGCACCGGCUAACUCCGUGCCAGCAGCCGCGGUAAUACGGAGGGUGCGAGCGUUAAUCGGAAUUACUGGGCGUAAAGCGCGCGUAGGUGGCUUGAUAAGCCGGUUGUGAAAGCCCCGGGCUCAACCUGGGAACGGCAUCCGGAACUGUCAAGCUAGAGUGCAGGAGAGGAAGGUAGAAUUCCCGGUGUAGCGGUGAAAUGCGUAGAGAUCGGGAGGAAUACCAGUGGCGAAGGCGGCCUUCUGGACUGACACUGACACUGAGGUGCGAAAGCGUGGGUAGCAAACAGGAUUAGAUACCCUGGUAGUC